RNAcentral lists this small RNA (822 nucleotides) under Pongo abelii (Sumatran orangutan). Its description in RNAcentral is "pseudogene". The record is from RNAcentral. Lineage: Eukaryota; Metazoa; Chordata; Mammalia; Primates; Hominidae.
AGAAUGUUAACCCCCUGGCAUCUAUCUAGUCAGCGGAGGCGACGGAUGCUGCUAAACGCCUUACAAUCCACCGGAGGGCCCCUCCCCUACCCCGAAGUAGCCAUUCCGCAGAGGUGGAGAGACUCGCGUGAAGCUCAAUGCCCACGCACUUAGCCGACGGGAAAUCACGAAUUGAUGACCAGUUGGCUCUUGGAUCGGAGGAAAAAACUCCAGCGUCAGACGGAACUCUGGAAGUUUUGCCCGGAGCAAACAGAAGGGUGGUGUUGCCAUCGCCUAAGAUGGGAAAAUGCCAGGUGUCACAGGUGGCAGGGGAAGGUCGGAGACCAGCUGAGGGCCCCGGAGCCUUCCUGGAAAGAGUUUCCCAUCCAGCCCGUCUCGGUUCCGCAUCCGUCUGAUUCCUUAUGAUGUUGAGGGUGCUGGCGUCUGGGUCCUUUAUGAUGCAGCGGGUGCCCCCGUCUCACCCCGGGCGCCUCCCGUCUCCCGCCUCCUCCUGGCAACCUGGUGCGCGGCUCCGGACCUGGCGACCCACGACCGGCUGGUCACUUGCUGCCGCCUCGCAAAGGCGCAUCUCUAGUUCAGUGGUGAGCUGCGGCCGGGUCGCUGCAACUCGCUCCAGGACUCGGGAUUCGGUGUCCCUCACGGAGCCCUCGGUGUGUCGCCUGCAGGCUCUUUUUUUGAAGAAAGCAGGGAGGGAAUGGCCUUGUGAGAGACUCCAGGAGCAAAGAGCGACCCUCAAAAGGCCCAAGUCCUUCCAGAGCUCAGGGAAAGUGUCGCUUCUGGCCGAAGAAAGGAGAGAAAGCUCCCUCCCGUGUGUCCCUGGUG